This 107-nucleotide non-coding RNA is filed under the name uncultured Planococcus sp. Its description in RNAcentral is "SAM riboswitch (S box leader)". It matches the Rfam family "SAM riboswitch aptamer (S box leader)". From Rfam's summary of the family: The SAM riboswitch is found upstream of a number of genes which code for proteins involved in methionine or cysteine biosynthesis in Gram-positive bacteria. The SAM riboswitch acts at the level of transcription termination control. The record is from RNAcentral. Lineage: Bacteria; Bacillati; Bacillota; Bacilli; Caryophanales; Caryophanaceae.
UCUUAUUCAGAGCAGGUGGAGGGACAAGCCCUAUGAUACCCGGCAACCGGUCCAAUGGUGGACACGGUGCUAAUUCUUGCAGCCAGAACCGAUGGCUGAGAAAUAAG